UCGAUCCAACAAUUUCCGAAAAAAUGUCUUCACAUUUGCCAAAGAUUCUUGCAUAAGAACGGACGUUUUAGUGGAAAUAAUCUGCCAAAUUAUAGCAAAGUUUACAUUUUUUCUGAAGUUUUGAAUCACAGAGUGCACCAAAAUGAAGUUAUUGAAAAUUUAUCUUCGAUACUACCCACCAGGCAUCGCAUUAAACUAUUUAAAACGAAACGUAGAGGAGACCAAAAUGAUUGAUUUGUUUGAUAUGACUUCGAAUUCUGACCUUCAAGCGCUGACAAAAAAGAUCGCAUCCUCGGAACCGCUGAUAACGCAAGAUAUCUACCCGCAAGUGAUAGAAAUUUUAGAAAAGCUACAGAAAAAGCUGAAAGAACCUGUGAAAACAAAAUUCUACCUCUUCAAAACUCUACAAACACACAUUCUUCCAUUGACAAACGUGUCCUUCGAUAAAUCCGGUAAAAGGUGCAUCACAGGUUCGUACGACCGUACGUGCCGAAUAUGGAACGUUGAGAGUGGCGACGAGGAGAAGGUGCUCAAGGGACAUGAAAAUGUGGUGUUUUCUGUUGCCUACAACUAUCCCAAAUGUGAUCGUAUACUGACGGGAUCGUUCGACAAAACUGCCAGAAUAUGGAACCCAACUUCGGCCAACUGCUUGACGACUUUGUGGGGUCACACGGCAGAAAUUGUGGCUGCCGAGUUUAAUCCCAACCAGGGCGAACAGGUGGUCACGUGCAGUAUGGACAACACAGCUCGAGUGUUUUCAGCUGAAACCAGCCAGGAAAUUCUUCUGCUGGGAGACCACAGAGCUGAAGUUAUAUCGGCCCGUUUCAACAAAGAUGGAAACUUGCUGCUGACGGCGUCAUUUGACGGAACUGCCAUGAUAUGGGACUCUCGGAUGAAAGGGAGUGCCAGUGUCAUUCGCGGCCACGAUGCAGAGCUGAGCAAUGCCAUUUGGAAUUUCCAGUGCUCUUUGAUAGCCACUAGUUCGUUGGACAGAACAGCCAAAAUUUGGGAUGCUCGAAAGUUAGACUACUUCCAAGCAAUCGCCAAUCAUAAAGAUGAAGUUCUCGAUAUAACCUUCAACUGUACUGGAUCACGGUUAGCAACCGGAAGUGCAGAUUGUACGGCCAAAGUAUGGGACGUUACCGGAAAUUUUGAGCUGGUUACUAUCAUGGCUGGCCAUACUGACGAAGUCUCCAAAGUGACCUUCAGCCCUCCUGGAGGAUUACUCCUGACGGCAUCGGCAGACAAAACGGCCCGUAUUUGGAACUCAGCAACCGGAUUGUGCACUCAAACUUUGGCGGGACACGAUGGCGAAGUAUUUUCGUGCUCUUUCAACUAUUCCGGUGAUGCAAUAAUCACCGCUUCGAAAGACAACACUUGUAAGAUAUGGAGAUGAUACGACUGGUUCUCGGGUCAAGCUUUCAAAACCCCAAAUGCAAAAAAGCAGCGUGUAUUUUUGCCUACGCCAAGACAGGGCGAACAUUGGACGAGAUUUUUACUUAGAAAACUGUAAAUAUUCGGCACCAGCCACCAACAUCAUUUCGAGCCGAUCAUCCCGAAGUAAGUUUUCGUCAAUGACAACCCCAGCAUGGCUUAUAGAAUGCUAGAAUAAGAUCAGAGCUCGAAAAAACAUGCACACAUUUGGAGGUUGCUUUAGGAAAUCGAUCCCUGCCGUUGAAUCAUUCCGUGUAGGUUAGCCAUCUCUUUAUCAGUUCCAACUUUUGCCAUUCAUUUUCGGCAUCCAAUUCUCUCCUAUUUAUAGGAUCUUUUCUGAGGAGCAUCAAUAAACCGAUAAGAUAUUGCUGCGCCAAAAAUGCAUCAAAAUAAUAGAUUCGCCCACUAAAAGAUAGCGAUACCGGAUCGAUUCAGCAACUAAUAUUAGCACAGAAUACUUUUUAACAGUUUAUUUCGUGACAGACUUUCGAAAGUAUAUAGCCAAAUUCAGACGAAAUAGUAGAAAAAAGCACAGAAUAUAUUUAAAAGCAAAAAAUAAACUAAAGAAUUCGAAAUAACACUCGUGUAGAAAUAGGCUGACAAAAACACUCCCAAAAUUUGUUUUAAUCUCUUGGAAAAAAACGUGUUGCUGUUUGUAGUCUCUUAGGCUUACUUUACUUUAUGUCAAUUGAAAACAUCGGUAGUGAUUCGAAAGUACCUUUAAUGGUUGCAACCUUUGAAAUUGUGAUAUAUGUAUGUGUAAGAAAAUAUACACACAGCAAAUGAAUUGAAGGUGAAACAAUCAAAGUUGUUGAU
This is an RNA transcript of Uranotaenia lowii, 2250 nucleotides long. It is a transcript of the gene named dynein assembly factor with WDR repeat domains 1, with no coding region annotated. The transcript is spliced from 8 exons. NCBI's taxonomy places the organism in Eukaryota, Metazoa, Arthropoda, Insecta, Diptera, Culicidae. The record is from RefSeq and is a predicted model, not a curated record.